UACGGAGAAGGCAAGCGUUGUUCGGAAUCACUGGGCUUAAAGCGCGUGUAGGCGGGCUCGUUAGUCGGGUGUGAAAUCCCUCGGCUUAACCGGGGAACUGCACCCGAAACUGCGAGUCUUGAGUCAAUCAGGGGUCGAUGGAACUUCAGGUGGAGCGGUGAAAUGCGUAGAUAUCUGAAGGAACGCCAGUGGCGAAAGCGGUCGACUGGGAUUGUACUGACGCUGAGACGCGAAAGCGUGGGGAGCGAACGGGAUUAGAUACCCCGGUA
This 269-nucleotide ribosomal RNA is filed under the name uncultured prokaryote. RNAcentral describes it as "partial 16S ribosomal RNA". It matches the Rfam family "Bacterial small subunit ribosomal RNA", at positions 524 to 792 of the family's 1533-position model. The record is from RNAcentral.